This 188-nucleotide long non-coding RNA is filed under the name Chrysemys picta bellii (western painted turtle). RNAcentral describes it as "lncRNA (ENSCPBG00000002435.1)". The record is from RNAcentral. Lineage: Eukaryota; Metazoa; Chordata; Testudines; Emydidae.
GCUUGCAGAGCCUUUAGCAGCCUGUACGUGCCUCACAUUUCUGAUAUUCUGCAUUGCUCUGCUCCACUUGGUAUUCGGACGCCUUGGCUAAGAGGAGCCACUGUAAGAAUGUUGAAUAUUGGAUUGUACGUUCCCGGUUUCAUUUCUCUGCCCGCCCACCCACUACCGAGGGCAUCAUCAAGGUGACC